AGUUCUCAGUACCUUCCCUUUCUCUGCAUCCUGGCUGCCAGAAGGCGAAGAGCUCCCUGCUUACGUUCUCCCACUACCGUGACGUCAUGACGUCUGUUCCAAGCACAUGGCGCAAACAACCAUGGUUCAAGUCUCUCAAACCAGUUACUGAGUGAGCUUCCGCUACCCCCAUGGGUGCCCUUGAACUGCUCUGUUGUGGUGACUACUAAAACACUCUUGGCAUGCCUCCUUCUUCCUGCCCGGUCCAGGGGCCCUCAACGAGCAAGUACAGGACAGUCGUUUUCUUUAUUUCACCCCAGCAUCUGGACAGAAUGAAGCAACCAAAACCCGGACGGCUCACUGAGGUCCUCACAGCUAUUGGAGAAGGAAAACCAGCCUGUGCUGUCUCCAUGUGGGUGCCUGCCCCCUGCUUUGGCAUGCAAGAAGAAAGGAAGGACAUCUGCAGGGACCUUGGUUUGUUCAAACAUAAGGCAGUGGUAAUCAUAACUCCUAGGGGCAAAGAGCCAAGUCACAGCUAAACAGAACCAGUCAAAAAUACAAAGCACUGUUCAAAUGACUGUUCAUCCAUCUCCGGAGUUAGAGGAAGAAACAGGUGAAUUCAAAGAAUGUAUUUUGGACCUGAUGUCAAUACCUACAACUCAUGUAAAAAUCUGGGGGUGGUGGCACGGGAUGUAGUCUCAGAACUAGGAGGCAGAGACAGGUGGAUUCCUGGGGCCUGAUGUCCAGAUAUUCUAAUUGAAUCAGUAAAUUUCAGGUUAUGUGAGCCAAGCUGUCCCAAAACGCAAUGUGGACAACAUCCUGAGGAGUGGCAUCUGAGGCUAAAUCUGGCCUGUGUACACACUCACAUAUGCACACCCACAUAUAAACACACCAUACAAACAAGUGUUAUUUUAUCAAUUAUAACCCAAUUUAUCAAAGCAACCUCAACACAGGGCAAUGAUAUUCACUGGUUCGUUCCAACUGAAAAUUAUUUGUCAUCAUAUAUUACCUACAAAUGCUGAAAACCUAGGAAACAUGAUUUACAACUUUAAUUACAAUAGAAAUAUGUGCCUACACUCAUGCAGAUCAUUAAACACAGCUCAAACUCAUUACUGAGUUACUUGAAAAAACAAACUGCUAAGCCUAAGACUUAAUUAUAAGCUUUCAAUCUGGCUUAAAUUAAUUCUUUCUAGCCUCCAAUGAAUUCCAAACAUUUCAAUAAAAAUUCACUGAAAUUUCAGCAUUUAAGUCAUUGACUUCAGAUUCCU
This is a long non-coding RNA of Mesocricetus auratus (golden hamster), 1247 nucleotides long. RefSeq lists it as uncharacterized. The transcript is spliced from 3 exons. NCBI's taxonomy places the organism in Eukaryota, Metazoa, Chordata, Mammalia, Rodentia, Cricetidae. The record is from RefSeq and is a predicted model, not a curated record.